RNAcentral lists this ribosomal RNA (234 nucleotides) under uncultured Candidatus Saccharibacteria bacterium. Its description in RNAcentral is "partial 16S ribosomal RNA". It matches the Rfam family "Bacterial small subunit ribosomal RNA", at positions 584 to 818 of the family's 1533-position model. Lineage: Bacteria; Candidatus Saccharimonadota. The record is from RNAcentral.
UAAGUGAAAGUGAAAGUUUGAGGCUCAACCUCGAAACUGCUUUUCAAACUACUAAACUUGAGUAUGUGAGAGGUAAUUGGAAUCCCUAGUGUAGGAGUGAAAUCCGUAGAUAUUAGGAGGAACACCAAUGGCGAAGGCAGAUUACUGGCACAUUACUGACGCUAAGGCACGAAAGCGUGGGGAGCGAACUGGAUUAGAUACCCAGGUAGUCCACGCUGUAAACGAUGGAUGCUA